This 496-nucleotide ribosomal RNA is filed under the name uncultured bacterium. RNAcentral's name for it is "partial 16S ribosomal RNA". It matches the Rfam family "Bacterial small subunit ribosomal RNA", at positions 29 to 507 of the family's 1533-position model. The record is from RNAcentral.
AUGAACGCUGGCGGCGUGCCUAAUCCAUGCCAGUCGCGCGAACAGACGAGGAGCUUGCUCCUCUGACGUUAGCGGCGGACGGGUGAGUAACACGUGGAUAACCUACCUAUAAGACUGGGAUAACUUCGGGAAACCGGAGCUAAUACCGGAUAAUAUAUUUAACCGCAUGGUUCCAUAGUGAAAGACGGUUUUGCUGUCACUUAUAGAUGGAUCCGCGCCGCAUUAGCUAGUUGGUAAGGUAACGGCUUACCAAGGCAACGAUGCGUAGCCGACCUGAGAGGGUGAUCGGCCACACUGGAACUGAGACACGGUCCAGACUCCUACGGGAGGCAGCAGUAGGGAAUCUUCCGCAAUGGGCGAAAGCCUGACGGAGCAACGCCGCGUGAGUGAUGAAGGUCUUCGGAUCGUAAAACUCUGUUAUUAGGGAAGAACAAAUGUGUAAGUAACUAUGCACGUCUUGACGGUACCUAAUCAGAAAGCCACGGCUAACUACGUG